AUUGAACGCUGGCGGCAUGCCUUACACAUGCAAGUCGAACGGCAGCAUGAUCUAGCUUGCUAGAUUGAUGGCGAGUGGCGAACGGGUGAGUAAUACAUCGGAACGUGCCCUGUAGUGGGGGAUAACUAGUCGAAAGAUUAGCUAAUACCGCAUACGACCUGAGGGUGAAAGUGGGGGACCGCAAGGCCUCAUGCUAUAGGAGCGGCCGAUGUCUGAUUAGCUAGUUGGUGAGGUAAAGGCUCACCAAGGCGACGAUCAGUAGCUGGUCUGAGAGGACGAUCAGCCACACUGGGACUGAGACACGGCCCAGACUCCUACGGGAGGCAGCAGUGGGGAAUUUUGGACAAUGGGGGCAACCCUGAUCCAGCAAUGCCGCGUGUGUGAAGAAGGCCUUCGGGUUGUAAAGCACUUUUGUCCGGAAAGAAAUCGCACUUACUAAUAUUAGGUGUGGAUG
Molecule: ribosomal RNA, 454 nt
Filed under: Burkholderia sp. oral taxon 406
Lineage: Bacteria; Pseudomonadati; Pseudomonadota; Betaproteobacteria; Burkholderiales; Burkholderiaceae
Description: bacterial SSU rRNA
Rfam family: Bacterial small subunit ribosomal RNA
Source: RNAcentral